GAGUUUGAUCGUGGCUCAGGACGAACGCUGGCGGCGUGCUUAACACAUGCAAGUCGAGCGGUGACCCUCCUUCGGGAGGUGAUCAGCGGCGAACGGGUGAGUAACACGUGGGCAACCUGCCCCUCACACUGGGAUAACCUCGGGAAACCGGGGCUAAUACCGGAUACGACCUCGAGCGGCAUCUCUUGAGGUGGAAAGCUCCGACGGUGAGGGAUGGGCCCGCGGCCUAUCAGCUUGUUGGUGGGGUAAUGGCCUACCAAGGCGACGACGGGUAGCCGGCCUGAGAGGGCGACCGGCCACACUGGGACUGAGACACGGCCCAGACUCCUACGGGAGGCAGCAGUGGGGAAUAUUGCGCAAUGGGCGAAAGCCUGACGCAGCGACGCCGCGUGAGGGAUGAAGGCCUUCGGUUGUAACCGUCUUCAGUCAGGGACUAAGCGAAAGUGACGGUACCGUGCAGAAGAAGACACCGGCUAACUACGUAGCCAGCCGCCGCUGU
Molecule: ribosomal RNA, 499 nt
Filed under: uncultured bacterium
Lineage: Bacteria
Description: bacterial SSU rRNA
Rfam family: Bacterial small subunit ribosomal RNA
Source: RNAcentral